RNAcentral lists this ribosomal RNA (374 nucleotides) under uncultured organism. RNAcentral's name for it is "bacterial SSU rRNA". It matches the Rfam family "Bacterial small subunit ribosomal RNA", at positions 526 to 896 of the family's 1533-position model. The record is from RNAcentral.
CGUAGGGUGCGAGCGGUUAAUCGGAAUUACUGGGCGUAAAGCGUGCGCAGGCGGUUUAGUAAGACAGGCGUGAAAUCCCCGGGCUCAACCUGGGAACUGCGCUUGUGACUGCUAAGCUAGAGUACGGCAGAGGGGGGUGGAAUUCCACGUGUAGCAGUGAAAUGCGUAGAGAUGUGGAGGAACACCAAUGGCGAAGGCAGCCCCCUGGGUCGAUACUGACGCUCAUGCACGAAAGCGUGGGUAGCAAACAGGAUUAGAUACCCUGGUAGUCCACGCCCUAAAACGAUGUCAACUAGGUGUUGGGAGGGUAAAACCUUUUAGUACCGGAGCUAACGCGUGAAGUUGACCGCCUGGGGAGUACGGCCGCAAGGUUA